CCUCAUGCCGUAUUUUUUCCCCUUAAUUCCUGAAAUGUCAUUGUUAAAGGUCUCCAGCCCUGACUGACUGAACCUUUUCUCACAUGACUCCGUGGCUGAGGAAGAAUUUAAACCCUUUAUUUUCACAUCAGAGCUGAGCAAGAGGCAGCCCCACACCCUGGCCUUUGAUGGCAACAGCUGCAGACACUGAGGAAAUUAUCUAACAGAAAAAAAUUGAGAAAUUUUACGUGGCCAAAGUAAAAGGAGUUCUGCUUGUGCUUUUCCAAUGCCCUACAUGAUUCCAGCGCCAGGCAGCUGAGUCCCUGCCGCUUCAGUCUGCGGCUUCACAGGUCUCAAAACAUUCCAAAAGCUGAAGCCUCAAUAUUGAAGUGA
Molecule: non-coding RNA, 372 nt
Organism: Zonotrichia albicollis (white-throated sparrow)
Lineage: Eukaryota; Metazoa; Chordata; Aves; Passeriformes; Passerellidae
Source: RefSeq, a predicted model, not a curated record